This 576-nucleotide ribosomal RNA is filed under the name Triticum aestivum (bread wheat). RNAcentral describes it as "partial small subunit ribosomal RNA". Lineage: Eukaryota; Viridiplantae; Streptophyta; Magnoliopsida; Poales; Poaceae. The record is from RNAcentral.
AUGUCUGAUCUUGGCUCUCUUCGCUACUUUCUUGGGAUUGAGGUAUCUUCGACCUCUGACGCCUUUUUUAUUUCCCAAGAAAAGUAUACCCAGGAUCUUGCUCGUGCUGCUCUUACUGAUGAGUGCACUGUUGAGACUCCCAUGGAGCUCAAUGUUCACCUCCGUGCUUCUCAUGGCGACCCCUUGUCUAAUCCGGCGCUUUAUCGUCAUCUUGUUGGGACUCUUGUCGAUUUAGCUGUCACUCGUCCGGGUAUCUCCUAUCCUGUUCAUAUUUUGAGUCAGUUUGUACUUUGGUUCACUAGUCACCCUCUUCGUGUUCAACAAUAUCUUCGUGGCACAAUUUCUCACACUCUGUUCUUUCCUCGCUCUAGUUCCUUACUACUUCAGAUAUCGGAUGCUACGUGGACUAGUGAUCCCUCGAAUCGCUGUUCACUUUCUGCUUAUCGUGUUCUCCUUGAUGGUUCUCCCAUUACGAAGAAACAGUCUGCAGUUUUCCAUUCGAGUGCAGAGGCUGAGUUGCGAGCUAUGGCUCCUUUGACAACAGAGGUUACUUGGUUGCGGUGGUUACUUCAGUAG